GACGAACGCUGGCGGCGUGCCUAAUACAUGCCAGUUGAGCGAUGAAGAUUGGUGCUUGCACCAAUUUGAAGAGCAGCGAACGGGUGAGUAACGCGUGGGGAAUCUGCCUUUGAGCGGGGGACAACAUUUGGAAACGAAUGCUAAUACCGCAUAACAACUUUAAACAUAAGUUUUAAGUUUGAAAGAUGCAAUUGCAUCACUCAAAGAUGAUCCCGCGUUGUAUUAGCUAGUUGGUGAGGUAAAGGCUCACCAAGGCGAUGAUACAUAGCCGACCUGAGAGGGGGAUCGGCCAAAUUGGGACUGAGACACGGCCCAAACUCCUACGGGAGGCAGCAGUAGGGAAUCUUCGGCAAUGGACGAAAGUCUGACCGAGCAACGCCGCGUGAGUGAAGAAGGGUUUCGGAUCGUAAAACUCUGUUGGUAGAGAAGAACGUUGGUGAGAGUGGAAAGCUCAUCAAGUGACGGUAACUACACAGAAAGGGACGGCUAACUACGUG
This 497-nucleotide ribosomal RNA is filed under the name uncultured bacterium. RNAcentral describes it as "partial 16S ribosomal RNA". It matches the Rfam family "Bacterial small subunit ribosomal RNA", at positions 28 to 507 of the family's 1533-position model. The record is from RNAcentral.